This 329-nucleotide ribosomal RNA is filed under the name uncultured cyanobacterium. RNAcentral's name for it is "bacterial SSU rRNA". It matches the Rfam family "Bacterial small subunit ribosomal RNA", at positions 377 to 720 of the family's 1533-position model. Lineage: Bacteria; Bacillati; Cyanobacteriota. The record is from RNAcentral.
GAAAGCCUGACGGAGCAAUACCGCGUGAGGGAGGAAGGCUCUUGGGUCGUAAACCUCUUUUAUCAGGGAAGAAACMAAUGACGGUACCUGAUGAAUCAGCAUCGGCUAACUCCGUGCCAGCAGCCGCGGUAAUACGGAGGAUGCAAGCGUUAUCCGGAAUUAUUGGGCGUAAAGCGUCCGCAGGUGGUUUUGAAAGUUUGCUGUCAAAGCGCGGAGCUUAACUUCGUACCGGCAGUGAAAACUACGAGACUAGAGUUUGGUAGGGGUCACGGGAAUUCCCAGUGUAGCGGUGAAAUGCGUAGAGAUUGGGAAGAACACCAGCGGCGAAA